Molecule: ribosomal RNA, 250 nt
Filed under: uncultured bacterium
Lineage: Bacteria
Description: partial 16S ribosomal RNA
Rfam family: Bacterial small subunit ribosomal RNA
Source: RNAcentral
UACAGAGGGUGCAAGCGUUAAUCGGAAUUACUGGGCGUAAAGCGUGUGUAGGUGGUUAGGUAAGUUAGAUGUGAAAUCCCCGGGCUCAACCUGGGAACUGCGUUUAAAACUGCUUGACUAGAGUACUGUAGAGGAUAGUGGAAUUUCCAGUGUAGCGGUGAAAUGCGUAGAUAUUGGAAGGAACACCAGUGGCGAAGGCGACUAUCUGGAUAGAUACUGACACUGAGACACGAGAGCGUGGGGAGCAAAC